GUCCACGCCCUAAACGAUGUCAACUGGUUGUUGGGAGCAAUCUCAGUGGCUAAGCGAAAGUGAUAAGUAUCCCACCUGGGGAGUACGUUCGCAAGAAUGAAACUCAAAGGAAUUGACGGGGGCCAGCACAAGCGGUGGAGCAUGUGGUUUAAUUCGAUGAUACGCGAGGAACCUUACCAAGGCUUAAAUGUAGUUUGACCGAUUUGGAAACAGAUCUUUCGCAAGACAAAUUACAAGGUGCUGCAUGGUUGUCGU
Molecule: ribosomal RNA, 255 nt
Filed under: uncultured bacterium
Lineage: Bacteria
Description: partial 16S ribosomal RNA
Rfam family: Bacterial small subunit ribosomal RNA
Source: RNAcentral